CAAUAGCGUAUAUUAAAGUUGUUGCGGUAAAAAAGCUCGUAGUUGGAUUUCUGUUGAGAGCGACCGGUCCAUACCAUGUAUGCGUAUCUGGCUUGCUCUCGGCAUCCUCUCGAUAGACGUUACUGCGCUUGAUUGCGUGGUGCGGAUCUCGGGACUUUUACUUUGAGGAAAUUAGAGUGUUCACGGCAGGCUUUCGCCAGAAUACAUUAGCAUGGAAUAAUACUAUAGGAUCUUGGUUCUAUUUUGUCGGUUUCUAGAAUUGAGAUAAUGAUUAAUAGGGACAAUUGGGGGCAUUCGUAUCAACACGUCAGAGGUGGAAUUCUUGGAUUGUGUUGCGACGAACUACUGCGAAAGCAUUUGCCAAGGAUGUUUUCAUUGA
Molecule: ribosomal RNA, 379 nt
Filed under: uncultured eukaryote
Lineage: Eukaryota
Description: partial 18S ribosomal RNA
Rfam family: Eukaryotic small subunit ribosomal RNA
Source: RNAcentral